This is a long non-coding RNA of Ochotona curzoniae (black-lipped pika), 164 nucleotides long. RefSeq lists it as uncharacterized. The record is from RefSeq and is a predicted model, not a curated record. NCBI's taxonomy places the organism in Eukaryota, Metazoa, Chordata, Mammalia, Lagomorpha, Ochotonidae. The transcript has 3 exons.
GCCUUUAAUUUUAGAAUAUUAGAGACCUUAAUUGUUGUCUUUAUAUCUAUACUUGAAUUACUUAUUGCAUUUUAAUGACUAUACUAAUAAGUUAAAAUACCUUGCAGAUCAUGCAGUUCUUUCUGACUUUGGACUACAUAGAUGAAUUUUCAGCCUUUAUUUUU